UACGUAGGGACCGAGCGUUGUCCGGAUUCAUUGGGCGUAAAGCGCACGCAGGCGGCUUGCUAAGUCGGGUGUGAAAUCCCUUGGCUCAACCGAGGAACUGCAUUCGAUACUGGUAGGCUCGAGGACGGGAGGGGUAAGCGGAACUCCAGGUGGAACGGUGAAAUGUGUAGAUAUCUGGAGGAACACCGGUGGCGAAAGCGGCUUACUGGCCCGUAUCUGACGCUCAUGUGCGAAAGCUAGGGGAGCAAACGGG
RNAcentral lists this ribosomal RNA (253 nucleotides) under uncultured bacterium. Its description in RNAcentral is "partial 16S ribosomal RNA". It matches the Rfam family "Bacterial small subunit ribosomal RNA", at positions 524 to 776 of the family's 1533-position model. The record is from RNAcentral.